Molecule: ribosomal RNA, 253 nt
Filed under: uncultured bacterium
Lineage: Bacteria
Description: partial 16S ribosomal RNA
Rfam family: Bacterial small subunit ribosomal RNA
Source: RNAcentral
UACGUAGGGUGCAAGCGUUAAUCGGAAUUACUGGGCGUAAAGCGUGCGCAGGCGGUUAUGCAAGACAGAUGUGAAAUCCCCGGGCUUAGCCUGGGAACUGCAUUUGUGACUGCAUGGCUGGAGUGCGGCAGAGGGGGAUGGAAUUCCGCGUGUAGCAGUGAAAUGCGUAGAUAUGCGGAGGAACACCGAUGGCGAAGGCAAUCCCCUGGGCCUGCACUGACGCUCAUGCACGAAAGCGUGGGGAGCAAACAGG